CCUACGGGGGGCUGCAGUGGGGAAUAUUGGACAAUGGGGGGAACCCUGAUCCAGCCAUGCCGCGUGUGUGAAGAAGGCCCUCGGGUUGUAAAGCACUUUCAGUGAGGAAGAACGCCUGGUGGUUAAUACCCAUCAGGAAAGACAUCACUCACAGAAGAAGCACCGGCUAACUCCGUGCCAGCAGCCGCAGUAAUACGGAGGGUGCGAGCGUUAAUCGGAAUUACUGGGCGUAAAGCGCGCGUAGGUGGCUUGAUAAGCCGGUUGUGAAAGCCCCGGGCUCAACCUGGGAACGGCAUCCGGAACUGUCAAGCUAGAGUGCAGGAGAGGAAGGUAGAAUUCCCGGUGUAGCGGUGAAAUGCGUAGAGAUCGGGAGGAAUACCAGUGGCGAAGGCGGCCUUCUGGACUGACACUGACACUGAGGUGCGAAAGCGUGGGUAGCAAACAGGAUUAGAUACCCGAGUAGUC
RNAcentral lists this ribosomal RNA (465 nucleotides) under Vreelandella stevensii. Its description in RNAcentral is "partial 16S ribosomal RNA". It matches the Rfam family "Bacterial small subunit ribosomal RNA", at positions 338 to 795 of the family's 1533-position model. The record is from RNAcentral. Lineage: Bacteria; Pseudomonadati; Pseudomonadota; Gammaproteobacteria; Oceanospirillales; Halomonadaceae.